UGGGAUUUGUUUUGGUGAUGAUUAGUGCUGCAUUACCUUUAAAGCAGAAAUGCCCUGUGCUUUAUGAAGCACGUGGCGCGUAUGGAAACUGCAUCAUCUCUCCAGACGGCAAAAGCGGCUGAUGGCACCUUCUGUCUUUUGCUGUCUUGAAGCAUUUAGGUUGUAAAUUCUUCUGGUGCAGCUUUGGGGAGCUGGUGCUUUCCUUCCCUCUGGUUAAGCAAGAGCUUUGGCAAGCUGCCAACGCUCCCCCACCCCGAGAGCCUCAUCCUCCAGGUUUGUUUGCAGACUGCUUGCCCGAUGCCUAAAAAAGGAACCAAUCAGAUUGCAUUUGCCUAAUGCAUUAAUGAAUCUGCUUAGGUGUCAUCAAGUCUAAUUUCUUAGUGGGCUGUGACAGUUUAAUGCCUUGGGACUGAAUUGCCGAGGAGAAGUUGAGGGGUGAUGGAUGGCCUGAGGAACUCUGAAACCUGAAGACUUUUACCAUGCCACAUCCCCCAGCCCAGAGUAAAACUUCCCUGGGUACUAACGGAAGCAUGUAAAUAAAAACAGAGAUGAAGGAACAGGACAGAGCCCUCGGGAAGCUCAGCUGGAGGCCUCUUGGAUUUAUGCAGCUAUCUGUGAAGCCCUGCUACUGUCGGAGCGCUCGGAGCUUGUCCGUGCCUCUGGGAAAGGUGCGUGGACCAGUACGCGGGGCUCCGCCGGGAGCCAACUACCAGCCCGUGAACGUGUUUUAUUCAUGCUGGAGGGUAGUCUCCCAUAGGAGCAUGAGGAAAGAGACCUCUCUCCUCGAGACAACUUGAGGAAGGUAAGGCACUGAGGGGGACGAGUCAAAUCUUUCUAGGGAGAAGUUGUCAUGAGAAGCCAUGCGAUACUCGCAGGGAGCACGGGAGCAGAUGAACAGCUGGCCUGACAGUCUGAGACGGGGGACACUGGUUCGAGCAUACGUUAGUUCAAGGUGCUGACUGACUUCUCCACUCCGAGCCUUGGCUGUCCGGCAUCUAGAGCCUGUUCCUGACUCCUUUAUGGCAAAAGUCCUGUGUGUCCCGUCAAGAC
Molecule: long non-coding RNA, 1050 nt
Filed under: Struthio camelus australis
Lineage: Eukaryota; Metazoa; Chordata; Aves; Struthioniformes; Struthionidae
Description: lncRNA (ENSSCUG00000004146.1)
Source: RNAcentral